This 472-nucleotide ribosomal RNA is filed under the name uncultured Desulfovibrio sp. RNAcentral describes it as "bacterial SSU rRNA". It matches the Rfam family "Bacterial small subunit ribosomal RNA", at positions 916 to 1381 of the family's 1533-position model. The record is from RNAcentral. Lineage: Bacteria; Pseudomonadati; Thermodesulfobacteriota; Desulfovibrionia; Desulfovibrionales; Desulfovibrionaceae.
ACGGGGCCCGCACAAGCGGUGGAGUAUGUGGUUUAAUUCGACGCAACGCGCAGAACCUUACCUAGACUUGACAUCCCGGGGAUUUUCUGGAAACAGAGAAGUGCUUUAGCAAUAAAGAACCCGGUGACAGGUGCUGCAUGGCUGUCGUCAGCUCGUGUCGUGAGAUGUUGGGUUAAGUCCCGCAACGAGCGCAACCCUCGCCUUUAGUUGCCAGCAUUCAGUUGGGCACUCUAGAGGGACUGCCGGUGUCAAACCGGAGGAAGGUGGGAUGACGUCAAGUCCUCAUGGCCUUUAUGUCUAGGGCUACACACGUACUACAAUGGCCGGUACAAAGGGCAGCCACUCAGCGAUGAGGCGCUAAUCCCAUAAAGCCGGUCUCAGUCCGGAUCGCAGUCUGCAACUCGACUGCGUGAAGUUGGAAUCGCUAGUAAUCGUGGAUCAGCAUGCCACGGUGAAUACGUUCCCGGGCCUU